AGAUACCCUGGUAGUCCUAGCCGUAAACGUUGUGCACUUGGUGUGGGAGGAGUUUACCCCUUCCGUGCCGUAGCUAACGUGUUAAGUGCACCGCCUGGGGAGUACGGCCGCAAGGCUAAAACUCAAAGAAAUUGACGGGGGCCCGCACAAGCGGUGGAGCAUGUGGCUUAAUUCGAUGCAACGCGAAGAACCUUACCUGGGCUUGACAUGGCGAGACUUCGGUCUAAACCGGUGAAAGUCGGUUGAACGCACACAGGUGCUGCAUGGCUGUCGUCAGCUCGUGCCGUGAGGUGUUGGGUUAAGUCCCGCAACGAGCGCAACCCUUGUGGGUAGUUGCCACCCCCGUUCUGCGGGGAGCACUCUACUCAGACUGCCCGUGACAAGCGGGAGGAAGGUGGGGAUGACGUCAAGUCCGUAUGGCCCUUAUGCCCAGGGCUGCACACGUGCUACAAUGGUCGGUACAGAAAGAUGCAAGACCGCGAGGUGGAGCAAAUCUCCAAAACCGGCCCCAGUUCGGAUUGCAGUCUGCAACUCGACUGCAUGAAGCCGGAAUCGCUAGUAACGGCGUAUCAGCUACGACGCCGUGAAUACGUUCCCGGGCAUGUACACACCGCCCGUCACAUCAUGAAAGCCGAUUGGACCCGAAGUCGUCGAUUCAACCCGC
RNAcentral lists this ribosomal RNA (664 nucleotides) under uncultured organism. Its description in RNAcentral is "bacterial SSU rRNA". It matches the Rfam family "Bacterial small subunit ribosomal RNA", at positions 780 to 1443 of the family's 1533-position model. The record is from RNAcentral.